GCUCAGAGUAUAAGCCAAUGGAGCUUGGAAGGCUUCCGCAGAUGGUGUCCAUCAUACGUGGUGUUCUUAAGACCUUGAGUGUGGCUCGUGAAGCGAAGCAUUGAGUUUGCCGACCAGUUGUCGUGCGGGGGGUUCAGCUUGGAAGGGUUGGGUUUCGGCCCAACAGUUUUCCUUCUGUCCCCUUUUGAAUGGACGUUCAGAGCUCUUGGUCUAAUGCGGUUAUGCCCACCACAGCACGUUGUGAGGUCACCCACAGGCUCAAACUGCCGAUCGCGCAUCCAGGACGAUGGCAACGAUGCGUUGUCGAUGAUGGCUCGAGAGAGACUUCACUCACACGCGUGUCUAGUCCUGGGUCGGGCGGCGACCGAGAUAAACCUGGUACGAUCCUCUUGCGACGAGCUGCUUUCUGGCCAGACCGACGCCCGGACGCCUCCACUGUGCCGGAAGCGUCAACCCCAGGCGGUGUGAACCCAGCUGCAUUAUGUAAGGUCUCUCAGCCGGGCGUUGGUCUGAGUGGUGUUAAGUCCAGCACCAUCGGUCACGUCUCGAAACACGGGCCAAGGAGUAUAGCAUGUGUGCAAGUCUAAGGGUCUCACAAAACCCGAAGGCGAAGUGAAAGCAAGACUGUGGCGGGGGAGCUACGGCAAACCCGCCGGCCUAGUGGCGCGUGCGUCGCCUGGCUUUUAACAGAGCUGAUCCUGUUUUCUCGGUUAAUUCUUGGCGCAGGCGCAAGCUCCGGGCUCACGUACAACACUGGUCACGCCUCGCG
This 769-nucleotide ribosomal RNA is filed under the name Niphargus stygius. RNAcentral describes it as "partial large subunit ribosomal RNA". Lineage: Eukaryota; Metazoa; Arthropoda; Malacostraca; Amphipoda; Niphargidae. The record is from RNAcentral.